GCAUCUGUAGUGUAGUGGUUAUCAUCCUUGCCUUCCAUGACUCCUCGCGGUUAGCAAGGGACCCGAUUUCGAUUAUCGGCGGAUGCA
This is a non-coding RNA of Colletotrichum godetiae, 87 nucleotides long. The record is from the annotation of a RefSeq genome assembly. NCBI's taxonomy places the organism in Eukaryota, Fungi, Ascomycota, Sordariomycetes, Glomerellales, Glomerellaceae.